This 63-nucleotide transfer RNA is filed under the name Stygiocaris stylifera. RNAcentral's name for it is "tRNA-Leu". Lineage: Eukaryota; Metazoa; Arthropoda; Malacostraca; Decapoda; Atyidae. The record is from RNAcentral.
UCUAAAAUGGCAGACCAUUGCAUGGGGUUUAAACCCCCAAUAGGAAGAUAUCUUCUUUUAGAA